GUCAGCAGACAAUGCGGGGGCAGCCCCGAAGGGGCCGACAGCAGGGGGACACUCUCUGGUGCCCCGAGGGUAGCGAGGGCAGCUAGGCUAGUCGCCUUUGCAUCAGAAAAGACACUGGAGACCUCGGUAGAGGAUAAAGGCUGACUCUCAGCAGGGGGACAGUGCAAGGUUUAUUCGGAGCUCCCGAGGGAUCCCCGCACCUCAGUGAUGCGCCUUGCUCAGAGUGCAACAAAAGGAAUCUCAAGGUUACAUUUAAAGGGUGGGAGGAAACCGAAGGUAGAUACAUUUGUUGACCAAUAAAGACCCUCCAGGGAAGCAACCUUAGGGAUGGACAUUUGGGAUGGCAUAUGAAGUAAUACUUGAGGGGCUGACUUCCUGGUCUCAGACUAAUCACUCGAUGACUUAGACUGAAAGUUCUAGCUAGAGAGGAUGGGAUGCUGAGUGACUGACAGAGAGCCAGGGCGAGGAUUUGGGGAUGAUCUUCACACAGGAGAAUGAUUACACAGGUAGAGGAAGGGUACAAAAGGGGUACAUCAUUUGGGGAAAAUAAGGGGAUACAAAACCAAAACUAUUACAAAGUAUUACAAAGUACAAAAGCACACUACAACAGUAGAUCAAGGGGUAUUUUGGGAAUCUUUGAUGGUUUAUGACAAUUUCUGUGACUUUACAGCUGCCUCUUACAUUGGUGGAGUAUCAGUUGUGUGAAUUAUGGCCCUUAAUCAGAGAUGAACAACAUCAGAUCUACUGUGAAUGUCCUGGUAGUUCCCCAGAGGGGAGUCUUCACAGCUGAGCCACUUGUGUAUGGACUUGUGCAUGAUGAAAAGCACUAUUUCACUACAUGGGAUUUGCCUCUUAUCAGCCUCCUCCCUUGUCUUGUUCAACACUCAGCUGUUGCCUUGGGUGAUGGGUGUGCACCUCCUCUUCACCUGGGCAGUCACUUCAAAUGGCAGAUUGUUUUGAGUAUUAACCAUUAACAUUCCAGUCUCUCACAACUAGUUACAUAGUUUCCUUAUUCUGGUGGCUAAGUGAUUCCGUCUCUUCUCAUACUAAUUAGUCCCAUGCUCAGUCUUUCUCUUCUGAUUUGUAGUCACAAUCUCCCCCUGCCAGAAUUAACUUUUGCCCACUCAGAGCUGAUUUCAGCACAGUUUCUGAGUUAGCUUUCCUUGUGGUUGCAUUCUUUUUGUCCAUUUUCAGUGACACAUUCUUGUUUCCCAGGUUUGUUUACCUCUCCCUCCACAGUGGCCUAAUUUACAGUCCAGGUUGCAGGUAUCCAUGUAGGCAUAUUUGGCAAUGGGGACUUCAGUGGUCACAGGUGCAAUCUGUUCCUUAACUUGAGGGGAUCUUAGACCCUCUGAGCAGUUGCUUCUUUACACAGUUUGCCACAGUGGGAUUUUUUUUCUGCAUCCAUUACCCAGGAUGUGCUAGCAGAUCUCAAUUACAUCAGGCUUGGAGUUAGAGCCAUCCUGUUGUUCCCAUCUGUGCUUAUCUCCUAACAAAGUCCUUCUGUAGUAGCAGUGUUUGAGACUGGCAGUUGUGCUCUUUAAGUCCUUACAGUGUCCCACCACACUCAGUGAAGGAACUUUUCCUAAUGUCAAUCUGAACCUCUCCAGCUGCUGGCACCCAUGAGGAAGCAAUAGGGUCACCCAUAGCCUGCUCUUUUCUAGGCUGAAAAAGCAAAUUUACCUCAGACCUUCCUUGUAAAUCUGGCCCUCGAGAUUUUUCACCUUCAUAGUGGCCUUCCUCUGAACACACUCACACAGUUUGAUGCCUUUCUUUUGUGUAUACUACUUUAAGGGUUUCUCUAAAUAGGAUAACGCUGCCUGAAUAAAGAGACCAGAGCAGAAGGGUUGCACAGGUGGAACAGGGCUGUGUUAGAAAGUCCAGAUGGAGAAGGAAAUUUUGUACAAAAUGGCUCUGAGCCAUCAUCAAUCCUUCUUCAUGAUCCAAAGAAUCCAAUUCUGUUAACAUGGUAUGACUCAGAUUGCUUUAAAUUGCUUGGGUUUUGGUUUUUUUUAGCUUAGGUGUUGGCUGUACUGUGAGAAGGCACAAUGGCAGGUAGAACCAGGGAUUUCCCUGUCCAUGGCAAGGGUAAGGAAGGGCUACUGGGAUGGAGGGUGGAAGGGUGGCGAAAGUGGUGGUAUGUGGCAGGUAUAAGUGCUCUCUCAUCUAGGAACAGCAUGGACUUUGCACCAGGGACAUGCAGCAUGCAGGAAGGGGUACAGAUUUCUGCUGCAAAAAAUUAGAAAAUUACCCCAGGUCAAGAUAAUGUGAGAAGGGUUUAUUUUAAGGAUCAGACAGCAUCCCACUCUGGAGCAGUUGGCUGGCAUGGAAUGCUGAAGAGAAGAAGUAGACAAAAUUUAAGAUUGUGAGCUACUUGGAAGAGGAUCUGUGUCUGUCCUCAGCACCACCAAAAUCAUGCCACAAAGCUGAAAUAAUAUUGUGAAAUAACUGUCAUAGCUAUUGAAAGUGUACCACCUAUCAUAACUGAGCAUGUUUGUGAGGUUCUGAGUGUGCUUCUUCCCCCACAACCUCUAUGAGGCAAGGAAGCACUCCUCCAUUCAUCCCACACAAGGACAUAAAAUGAUGAAGACCUGGAAACUGUGUCAGGGCAAAGAAACCUCAGCAAUCCCAAAGCCCAGGAAUAUCACUCAGUUCUGAUCCCCAUUUCCCAUAUAUGUUUCUUCAACUCAGUUGAGGAGCUAUCGCUCUUGCACCAAGAAUGACACAGGAACAGGCGAGAGGCAGGAUUGUAGAACAGGUAUGUCUGAUAUUCCAGGUGUUCCACAUAUUGUACACAAACGAAGACUGACAUAGAGGUGUUACUGCAAGAGCAGUAACAGAUGAUCCAGCCACUCACCUUAGAUUCAGCUGUGAGGAGACACAGCCCUGCAAAGACCCAUUUAACUUCCAGGUUUGUUUCUCUUCCGCUCAGAAAUGAAAAUUCUCCCAUGAAGGCAAUUUGCAGGCUCUUCCUCCUUGCCCAGAUCACUCUUGAUGGGCAUUGGUGAAAAAGCCAGCCAAAGUACAGACUCUGGGUGCCAGUUGUCAGGGUGUGGGAGAGACCUGAGAGCCUGUGGCACCUUCCAGCCUAUUUGGGUAAUUCAGGGAGUUGCAGAGAUGUACAGUAGGAAAAUGUCAUAUAUUCAAGUCCAGACUGCCAGCUGGUGUUAAAACCUCAGGCUCCCUUUUGCUGGCCCUUUUGGGGUGACUUUUGCUUGAGGGUCUAUUUAUGUGCCUGAUAAAACUGUGAGGCAAACCAAAUAUUUUCUUCUGAGAGCACUCAACAGAUGAGCAGCUGAAGGGAAAGAGCUGUUUGGACAUCUACCACUGGGAUGUGACAACGGAUGCUAUGUAUGUCAGUCCCAAGAGACCCAGGAAAAAGCUGGUGAGUUUGCUGUUCUGCUUGGCUGUGGGUGACCCUCCUGUUAGUGUCAAGCAUCUGUUCUCAUCCUGAAUCACUAUGGGAUGCAAAACAUGAGCAUGGGGUGAAGACCCCAAAUGACAUAAGCAUUACUGUGUGUCUCAUCUGAGACAAUGUCAAAUUAACCUUCAAACCUGACACCUUCUUGGAAAAGAUUAAUUUAUUGCCAGUUUAAAAUGGAGUUGGAUACUGGAAAAACCACCAUUCUCUUACCCUCUCCUGCUACCAAAAUCAUGGAUGGGUUCAGCUUUGGCCAUGGCAGGUCUGGCUGGAAACCACCUGGAGCUGGCUGUGCCUGACAGAGGGGCAGCUCUUUAUGUCUUCCUACAAAAACCACUCCUGCAGUCACACAGGCCCAAUACAUAGACCCGAUUCAAUUGUCUUUCAAGCCUGUGCUGCUGGAAACCCCAGGCUGCUGUGGAAUACAGCUGCCCUAUUCCAUUAUAAGACCAAGAGGGCAGCUACCCACUGUGCAGAUCUCAAAGAUGUGGUGUAAAUCAAAUCUGAGUCAGCAGCUUUGCACUCUACUCCUUUGCUGACUGGUUAACAGAGCAGUAGCUACGAGCGUUGUUUUCCAAGAGAAAUGUAGAUUUUAAUUUGAACACAAUUUCCUCACCCUGAACAAUUCUCCCUCUCACAUGCAUUCACAGAAUUCACAGAAUGACUAGGUUGGAAGAGACCUUAAAGAUCAUUGAGUACAACCCAAUAUUAGUCAAUGAAUAUUGUUUCAGAAAAAGCAGAAGAUCCUGCUAUUCCAACAGUCAUGUCAUAUUCCAGUAUGGAAAAACACUGUUUUUUUGGAACAACACUCCUUCUCCCAUUUUUUCUCAGGAACUGUGGUCUACUGGUUUCUCCUAUUGACAACCUUCAUUUUGUUUUCUCUCCUGGAGGCUGCUCAUGCUUCCAAGACUAAGCACAGAAACUGCAUGCCUGGCUCUAUAUUAAAUCAUGGGAAUAAAAUGGGAAUUAAAUUUAAGAGAUCAUUAUCACAGAAGCUUUGUGUUCUGUGUCCUGCUGUAAUUGCUGCUCAAUGCACUUAGGCUGUUGCCAACUUCUUCUCACUGCAAAAGUAAACCUCUGAACUGUUUUCUUUGUGUUUUCU
Passer montanus (Eurasian tree sparrow) is the source of this 4523-nucleotide long non-coding RNA. RefSeq lists it as uncharacterized. NCBI's taxonomy places the organism in Eukaryota, Metazoa, Chordata, Aves, Passeriformes, Passeridae. The transcript is spliced from 4 exons. The record is from RefSeq and is a predicted model, not a curated record.